UACGGGGGGGGCAAGCGUUGUUCGGAAUUACUGGGCGUAAAGGGUUCGUAGGUGGCCAACUAAGUCAGACGUGAAAUCCCUCAGCUUAACUGGGGAACUGCGUCUGAUACUGGAUGGCUUGAGUGCAGGAGAGGAACGCGGAAUUCCAGGUGUAGCGGUGAAAUGCGUAGAGAUCAUGAGGAAGACCAGUGGCGAAGGCGGGUCUCUGGACAGUUCCUGACACUGAGGCACGAAGGCCAGGGGAGCAAACGGG
This 253-nucleotide ribosomal RNA is filed under the name uncultured bacterium. Its description in RNAcentral is "partial 16S ribosomal RNA". It matches the Rfam family "Bacterial small subunit ribosomal RNA", at positions 524 to 776 of the family's 1533-position model. The record is from RNAcentral.